Molecule: non-coding RNA, 3122 nt
Organism: Meleagris gallopavo (turkey)
Lineage: Eukaryota; Metazoa; Chordata; Aves; Galliformes; Phasianidae
Source: RefSeq, a predicted model, not a curated record
CUGGGGAAUGAUACCAUCAUAUCCAGUGAAAAACAGGAUGCAAGUGGGCACCUCCCUGCUCCCUCUUAUCUGGCAAGGCCCGGGAGAUGGGAACAAAGGCAUUUCUGCUGAGAUCCCAAAGCCAGAAGCUGCCACUUCAAAGACAGCUGACCACUUUGGAUUUGAACUGUCACUCCAAAGAGAGCUGACUCUCUUUUGUGGCCUCUUUUGGACUUAUUACAAAUCUAAGUUUGUGCAGUUGCCAUGCCAUCAACCGAACAACAACCCCUGAUGACCCAUCACUACUGAACAUCAAGAUCUGAACUACAAACCAUCCUGGACCCGUGGUGGUGACUACAUCUCUUUUGCUUGCUACAGAGACUGUUGCUUUUAUUUCCCAUCUUUUCUAUCGCCCGUCUUCCCUUCCCCAUCUCCCUAAAUAACUUGGAUUUGUAACAAACUGGACGGGCUAACAUCUAACCCAUUGUGUCUUCAUCUCUCUGUCUGCUGUACAUAUAUUAAAAGAACCUCCCCUUGCUCUGAUAAUGGCAGCGAGACAGUGCCGUCUCCUUGAAGGAAAGCAGAGGUAGAGGGACAGUGGGGACUCUUCCUUCCGAGACCCCUUGGCUCUGGCAGACUACAUUCCUUGGAGCCUUGGAUCUCGAGUUCCUCAUUUUCCAAAGUCACGCUCUCUUCUGGUGGCACGCAGAGCACACCAAAGCCCAGGAUUUGGCAGCAUUUGAAAGGCGUAGCUGUGCGUGAGGCUGGGCCUGGGCCAAGAGGAGACUGUUUCCUUCCCGCUCGCUGCUCCUUUAGAUCCCUGGUGGGAAGAGAAGGGCUUUUUGGGAGGCACUGGCACAGCUUAGGAGCAAAACACUGCAGCUGGGCCACACAGAUAGGGUGGCACCGGCCCCGGGGCCUGAAGGCACAGCUCGGCAUGCGAGCACUGGCCCGGCAACCUGAAGGCACAGCCCGAGAGGCUGGCACCAGCCCUGUUGGGAGCUGUAGGGUAAUUUGGAGGCCUAUAGGGUAACAUAAGGGUAUAGGGAGCUGUGGGAGGCUAAUGGUGAAUACAGUGAGAUAUGGGGCUAUAGGGGAUGUAUGGGGGAUAUGGAUCUAGAAGGGGCUGUGUAGGGCCAUAUGGGGUUAUAGGGUGGGCUAUAAGGGGAUGUGGGCCCCUCCCUGUCCCUCUUCCAUAGCAGGGUAGGUGAAAUGUUAGUCAUGAUAUUUAAAUUAGAAUUGAAAUUGUAUUGGAAUAGAAUAUGACUGUUUUGUGGUCUUAAAUCUGAAUCAUGUUUUCUCUUUGGGCUUCAGGUACAGAUAUUGUUUAAUAAUGACUUUAGAGAAGGUUUCACUAUCCAUUCUCCUAAUCAGGAAGAAAGAAGAAGGUGUUUAGAGGACUUAAUCACAAGUGGAGCUGCUGCUGAACCUCCGCUUCCAAGAAGCAAGCAGGCUGGGCAGACACGGGAAGCACUGCCUGCAGCAGCACCAGCUGAGCCCUGUGUGCCAGAGGAAGGAACGCGGCGUCUGGAGGAGCAGGAGGAGGAGACCCUGCGUGAGUGUGCGUGUUGUGCAGGGCCGUUCCUCACAGACUGCCACUGGCAGACAUUGGGGCAUUGCAGAGCCUCUUGGCGUGGUGGCGGUAAACCGGCGUUGAUCUGUAAUGCCAUGUGAUCUGCGUGCAUGCAGAAUUUCCCUGUGUUUGUAGUUCUCAGAGUUUGUGGCCCUGGUGUGGUUCAAAGAUGUCAGACCUUUGUGCCUCUUUGUUCCCCCUCCAGAGAGUUCUGAAGAGCCCUUCCAUUUUUGAGAAGGCUGCAGGUCCCGAUGAUGGCACAGGCAUUAAACAGCCCGGAGCUCAUUGCUGGGGAGAGGCUGCACAUUGCAUUGUGAAGGGAGAGAUGGAGGAGGAGUUUGAACAGCGUUGUGCAGGAAUGGAAGGCUGGCAGGAGACGGACAGCGGUACUGCAGCUCCUCUGGCAGUUUUGCAGCUAAGUUGGGAAGUAGAAGAUGUGGAUUUGAAAGAACUCAGUUGCUGGGACGUUCCCCUGUUCUUCCCCUAGCUGUUCCCUUGCCUCAGCCCAGAUUCCCCUUGCAUUCCUGUGGUGUCCCUUCCAUCCCCCUGGCUGCCCCUUGUUUUCCCCAAGGUUGCCCUUUCCUUUCCCAUGAAAGUCCACCAAUAAUUCCCUCAGAGCCCCAACAACCCCCUGGUUCAAGUCUCCAUCAUUGCCAUGCAGCACCACAGCAGCCAAGCUCCAGUCCCUUCCCCAGUCUCAGUGGGAUCUGUUUGUUCUGUUCUCAUCCACUUGGAGAAACAGAAGCUUCCUGCCCACCAAAACUUGUGACAGCUAUUUCCCUACAGAAGCAUUCAUGUCCUUCUUGUGGCCCCUUUGGCCAGUUCCCAGCUCUCCAAACUGAAAUGUAUGGCUGCAGCCCACCCCAGGGCUUCUUUGAGGCAGCUCUGGGGCAGCUCUAGGAUGGCUCUGGAGCUGCCCCACCCUGAGAAGGGGAUGCCUUUUCCCCCACACACAGCUGGUUCUAUGGCCACAUGGGGUGAGGACACAGGGUUGUGGGUCACCUGAGGGUCCUGCAGGGUCACAGAUUUAUGGGGUUACGUGGGGAUAUGGAGUCGCAGCGAGUUAUGGGGUCAGAUGGGAUGGUAGGGUCAGAUGAGCUGACAUGGAGCUACAGGUCACAUGGGGUUACAUAGUGGGGGUGAGGUGGGGACAGGGGUCCCAGAGAUCUGGGGCCACAUGGGCCUGCAAUGUGAUGGGGGAAGACAGGGUCAGGGAGUCACAGGGUCAUGUGGGGUGUGGUUCACACAGGGCUGUGGGUCACACAUAUGGGGUUAUGUGGUCAUCUUGGAGUAUGGUGAAUGUGGGGUUACAGCUCAGGGCCCCACCUUUGGGCCACAGGGAACCCAGUUCCCUCUCAGGAAGUGAUGAAACCACUUUAGCACCACCCCACACUCCUUUUUCAGCUAAAACCACUCCCCACAUCCCCCCCAUUCCCCCUGUGUUCCCAUACAACCCCGUACCUCAGAAUCCCACUUGUAGCCCUGUGGAAUAAAGAAAGUCAGCAAAAGAGGGAAGGGCAGAUGGAGGAAGAAAGGAAGGAAUGGUGCAGAGAAAAGAGAGAGAAGUGUG